UCCCACAGCUACUGGCCUGAAACUGCUCUGUACUGUAGCAGUUGCAGUAUUCCAACUGUGGGAGAUUAGCAGUUACACUAUGCAAUGCUCCUUUCUCCACCAGGGAAGGGAAUUUCAGUGUAACAGACAGGA
Molecule: small nucleolar RNA, 132 nt
Organism: Podarcis muralis (Common wall lizard)
Lineage: Eukaryota; Metazoa; Chordata; Lepidosauria; Squamata; Lacertidae
Product: small nucleolar RNA SNORA41
Source: Ensembl